UACGUAGGGGGCAAGCGUUAUCCGGAAUCACUGGGCGUAAAGGGUGCGUAGGUGGCUGAUCAAGCCAGAGGUGAAAGGCAUUGGCUCAACCAAUGUAAGCCUUUGGAACUGAUCGGCUUGAGUGCAGGAGAGGUAAGUGGAAUUCCUAGUGUAGAGGUGAAAUUCGUAGAUAUUAGGAGGGACACCAGUGGCGAAGGCGACUUACUGGACUGUAACUGACACUGAGGCACGAAAGCGUGGGUAGCGAACAGG
RNAcentral lists this ribosomal RNA (252 nucleotides) under uncultured bacterium. Its description in RNAcentral is "partial 16S ribosomal RNA". It matches the Rfam family "Bacterial small subunit ribosomal RNA", at positions 524 to 776 of the family's 1533-position model. The record is from RNAcentral.